AUUGAACGCUGGCGGCAGGCCUAACACAUGCAAGUCGAGCGGUAGAGAGGUGCUUGCAUCUCUUGAGAGCGGCGGACGGGUGAGUAAUGCCUAGGAAUCUGCCUAGUGGUGGGGGAUAACGUUCGGAAACGGACGCUAAUACCGCAUACGUCCUACGGGAGAAAGCGGGGGGAUCUUCGGACCUCGCGCCAUUAGAUGAGCCUAGGUCGGAUUAGCUAGUUGGUGAGGUAAUGGCUCACCAAGGCGGACGAUCCGUAACUGGUCUGAGAGGAUGAUCAGUCACACUGGAACUGAGACACGGUCCAGACUCCUACGGGAGGCAGCAGUGGGAAUAUGGACAAUGGGACGGAAACGGACCCGUACGGAUUACCCCGAAC
RNAcentral lists this ribosomal RNA (377 nucleotides) under uncultured bacterium. Its description in RNAcentral is "bacterial SSU rRNA". It matches the Rfam family "Bacterial small subunit ribosomal RNA", at positions 30 to 388 of the family's 1533-position model. The record is from RNAcentral.